CAAAGAAUAGUUUAAUUUAGAAUCCUAGCUUUGGGAGUUGGGGGUAGGAGUUAGAAUCUCCNUUCNUUGA
RNAcentral lists this transfer RNA (70 nucleotides) under Kyphosus gladius. RNAcentral's name for it is "tRNA-Pro". It matches the Rfam family "tRNA". Rfam says of the family: Transfer RNA (tRNA) molecules are approximately 80 nucleotides in length. Their secondary structure includes four short double-helical elements and three loops (D, anti-codon, and T loops). Further hydrogen bonds mediate the characteristic L-shaped molecular structure. tRNAs have two regions of fundamental functional importance: the anti-codon, which is responsible for specific mRNA codon recognition, and the 3' end, to which the tRNAs corresponding amino acid is attached (by aminoacyl-tRNA synthetases). tRNAs cope with the degeneracy of the genetic code in two manners: having more than one tRNA (with a specific anti-codon) for a particular amino acid; and 'wobble' base-pairing, i.e. permitting non-standard base-pairing at the 3rd anti-codon position. The record is from RNAcentral. Lineage: Eukaryota; Metazoa; Chordata; Actinopteri; Centrarchiformes; Kyphosidae.